Oncorhynchus keta (chum salmon) is the source of this 1444-nucleotide long non-coding RNA. RefSeq lists it as uncharacterized. Lineage: Eukaryota; Metazoa; Chordata; Actinopteri; Salmoniformes; Salmonidae. The record is from RefSeq and is a predicted model, not a curated record. The transcript has 4 exons.
GGAGCUACACAACUUGUCAGUAGCGACAGGUGGGUGGAGCUACACUACAACUAACCGGUAGGGACAGGUGGGUGGAGCUACACUACAACUAGCCGGUAGGGACAGGUGGGUGGAGCUACACUACAACUCGCCGGUAGGGACAGGUGGGUGGAGCUACACUACAACUAGUCGGUAGGGACAGGUGGGUGGAGCUACACUACAACUAGCCGGUAGGGACAGGUGGGUGGAGCUACACUACAACUAGCCGGUAGGGACAGGUGGGUGGAGCUACACUACAACUAGCCGGUAGGGACAGGUGGGUGGAGCUACACUACAGCUAGCCGGUAGGGACAGGUGGGUGGAGCUACACUACAGCUAGCCGGUAGGGACAGGUGGGUGGAGCUACACUACAACUAGCCGGUAGGGACAGGUGGGUGGAGCUACACUAACACUAGCCGGUAGGGACAGGUGGGUGGAGCUAUACUUUUCUAAGUCACCUUGAUUUACCACCUGUGUGUUUUAUUAGCUUCUUUAUGAAAAUAUUUAGUCAACUCCACAUCAGUCGAAAAAAGUAGGGGAUAAAGCAGCACACAAGUAGACUGCAAAUGCAUGCUGGGUAGGCACACUCUGAGCUCGUGAAGUGAGCGAUAUUGGAGCGAGCGAGAAGGCCGACACUCCAGCCUUUGGGGAAACUCGCUUUUCUUGCUUUGCUCUGCUCACAUACUCUGGUGUUAUUUACAGUACUUGCCUGUUAUCUACAGUACUUGCCUGUUAUCUACAGUACUUGCCUGUAAUUUAGAGUACUUGCCUGUUAUUUACAGUACUUGCCUGUUAUUUACAGUACUUGCCUGUUAUCUACAGUACUUGCCUGUAAUUUAGAGUACUUGCCUGUAAUUUAGAGUACUUGCCUGUAAUUUAGAGUACUUGCCUGUUAUGUACAGUACUUGCCUGUUAUUUACAGUACUUGCCUGUUAUUUACAGUACUUGCCUGUUAUUUACAGUACUUGCCUGUUAUCUACAGUACUUGCCUGUUAUCUACAGUACUUGCCUGUUAUCUACAGUACUUGCCUGUUAUUUACAGUACUUGCCUGUUAUCUACAGUACUUGCCUGUUAUUUACAGUACUUGCCUGUUAUUUACAGUACUUGCCUGCUAUCUACAGUACUUGCCUGUUAUUUACAGUACUUGCCUGUUAUCUACAGUACUUGCCUGUUAUUUACAGUACUUCCAUGUUAGUGUUUUUAGUGUGAAACAGGGCUAAAUGCCGUCUGUUGUUGCUAUGCCAUCGGUUGUCCCAAACACUGGUUCUUUUGGUACAAAAGCUAUUACUGACUGGAGGAGAUGCACACUGGCGCGUUACUGACUGGAGGAGAUGCACACUCGCGUUACUGACUGGAGGAGAUGCACACUCGCGUUACUGACUGGAGGAGAUGCACACUGGCGCGUUACUGACUGGAGGAGAUGCA